CGGAGGGUGCGAGCGUUGUCCGGAAUCACUGGGCGUAAAGGGCGCGUAGGCGGCCGUGUAAGUCACUUGUGAAAUCCCGGGGCUCAACUCCGGGGCUGCAGGUGAGACUGCGUGGCUAGAGCUCGGUAGAGGCAAGUGGAAUUCCCGGUGUAGCGGUGGAAUGCGUAGAUAUCGGGAAGAACACCGGUGGCGAAGGCGGCUUGCUGGGCCGAUGCUGACGCUGAUGCGCGAAAGCGUGGGGAGCAAACAGGAUUAGAUACCCUGGUAGUCCACGCCGUAAACGAUGGGUACUAGGCGUCGGGGGAGCGACCCCCUCGGUGCCGUCGCUAACGCAGUAAGUACCCCGCCUGGGGAGUACGGUCGCAAGACUG
RNAcentral lists this ribosomal RNA (371 nucleotides) under uncultured organism. RNAcentral describes it as "bacterial SSU rRNA". It matches the Rfam family "Bacterial small subunit ribosomal RNA", at positions 526 to 896 of the family's 1533-position model. The record is from RNAcentral.